Long non-coding RNA from Centruroides sculpturatus (bark scorpion), 213 nucleotides. RefSeq lists it as uncharacterized. Lineage: Eukaryota; Metazoa; Arthropoda; Arachnida; Scorpiones; Buthidae. The record is from RefSeq and is a predicted model, not a curated record. The transcript is spliced from 3 exons.
GCAUAUGUUUCAUACACGAUAUUAUUUAGUAACCCACUAAACUUGAACUAUAUCUAUCGUAUCGAGUAACAAGCUUAAAGGAAAACUUUACAGUCAGAUAUAAUGGACAUUUCCUUGUUAGUAUUUUGCAUCGUUAUGGCUGCUAUAUUUACAAUUACGCCUCCAAUCUGUGGAAGAAUGGACAGUGCACCUGAUAUAACGGAUGCAGAAAAU